AACGAACGCUGGCGGCAUGCCUAACACAUGCAAGUCGAACGAGACCUUCGGGCCUAGUGGCGCACGGGUGCGUAACGCGUGGGAACCUGCCCUUAGGUUCGGAAUACCUCCCCGAAAGGGGUGCUCAUGCCGGAUAAUGUCUUCGGACCAAAGAUCUAUCGCCUUUGGAUGGGCCCGCGUUGGAUUAGCUAGUUGGUAGGGUAAAAGCCUACCAAGGCGUCGAUGCAUAGCUGGUCGGAGAGGAGGAUCCACCACACUGGGGCUGAGACACGGCCCACACUGCUACGGAGGGGAGGAGUGGGGAAUAUUGGGGGAGGGGGCAAAACCUGAUCCCGCCACGCCGGGGAUGAGGUGAAGGGCGUAGUGUUGUAAAGCUCUUUGUGACGAGAUGAUAAUGACAGUACCGGGAGAAGAAGCACCGGCUAACUCCGUG
RNAcentral lists this ribosomal RNA (433 nucleotides) under uncultured bacterium. RNAcentral's name for it is "partial 16S ribosomal RNA". It matches the Rfam family "Bacterial small subunit ribosomal RNA", at positions 29 to 507 of the family's 1533-position model. The record is from RNAcentral.